UUUUGUAGUGUGAAAGUAGCUUCCAUUUCACAUCCAUUAGUAGAACAGGAGCUCUUUCCUUAUGCUUCCCAGGUUGCCAGCUGUAUGGACAGGCUAUUUCCUGGAGGAAGAAUGGUGGAAGAGGAAAAAGCAAAGGAAGCUCAUGUAAGAGCAGAUAUUGAAGAAAGAUUGAGUUCUACUUUAUCAGCUAUGAGCCUGGAACUUAAAAAGUGCACAGAAAUUCAAGGUGUAGUUCAUUUUUUGGAGAAUAAAGUGGAGCAUAGGGUAUGUUUUCUGUAUUUUUAU
Long non-coding RNA from Limulus polyphemus (Atlantic horseshoe crab), 285 nucleotides. RefSeq lists it as uncharacterized. The transcript has 3 exons. The record is from RefSeq and is a predicted model, not a curated record. NCBI's taxonomy places the organism in Eukaryota, Metazoa, Arthropoda, Merostomata, Xiphosura, Limulidae.